Molecule: long non-coding RNA, 473 nt
Organism: Heterocephalus glaber (naked mole-rat)
Lineage: Eukaryota; Metazoa; Chordata; Mammalia; Rodentia; Bathyergidae
Source: Ensembl
AGGAAUCAACCACACUCUUCUUUGGAUUUGGGCUCUGUCAUUUCCUGGUUCUCAGAUCUCAGCAACAGCCACGGCACUGAUAGGGUAUUCCAGAAGUGGAAAGGCUCCAGGAUUGUGUAAUGGCCUCUACACGGGAAACAAAACCAGUGCUGCUGAUAAAAUGGCCUGACAGAGGCUCAGUCACUAUCCAGCCCUCCAGCCCACUACAAGUGUUUUUCCAAAUCGAGCUGCAGCAACGUGAGGCCAGAUCUAACACCAAUCUGACUGAAAGAAUUCACACAGGGCCUGAGCAAACCAUUUCCCCACAUUACAGUUGAGAAUCUGAGCCAACCAAUGCUACAGGACAUGUCCUUUGAAUAGCACUAUUCUCCCAGGUCCAUGGUGCUCAGUGAUGGACAAAGAUGUGACUUGGUCCUUCUCCUUCUUCAUGACAAGUACCCAGCCUAGUACUCAAUCUGUGCCCCAGUGCUGAC